RNAcentral lists this transfer RNA (76 nucleotides) under Akkermansiaceae bacterium. Its description in RNAcentral is "tRNA-Lys". It matches the Rfam family "tRNA". From Rfam's summary of the family: Transfer RNA (tRNA) molecules are approximately 80 nucleotides in length. Their secondary structure includes four short double-helical elements and three loops (D, anti-codon, and T loops). Further hydrogen bonds mediate the characteristic L-shaped molecular structure. tRNAs have two regions of fundamental functional importance: the anti-codon, which is responsible for specific mRNA codon recognition, and the 3' end, to which the tRNAs corresponding amino acid is attached (by aminoacyl-tRNA synthetases). tRNAs cope with the degeneracy of the genetic code in two manners: having more than one tRNA (with a specific anti-codon) for a particular amino acid; and 'wobble' base-pairing, i.e. permitting non-standard base-pairing at the 3rd anti-codon position. The record is from RNAcentral. Lineage: Bacteria; Pseudomonadati; Verrucomicrobiota; Verrucomicrobiia; Verrucomicrobiales; Akkermansiaceae.
GCGCGAAUAGCUCAGUUGGUAGAGCAGUAGACUUUUAAUCUAUUGGUCUCGGGUUCGAGUCCCGAUUCGCGUACUA